Molecule: ribosomal RNA, 253 nt
Filed under: uncultured bacterium
Lineage: Bacteria
Also listed under: 1 other name
Description: partial 16S ribosomal RNA
Rfam family: Bacterial small subunit ribosomal RNA
Source: RNAcentral
UACGAGAGGCCCAAACGUUAUUCGGAUUUACUGGGCUUAAAGAGUUCGUAGGCGGCGCGGAAAGUAGGGUGUGAAAGCCCUCGGCUUAACCGAGGAAUUGCGCCCUAAACUGUCGCGCUCGAGGAACCUAGAGGUGAGCAGAACUGAUGGUGGAGCGGUGAAAUGCGUUGAUAUCAUCAGGAAUACCGGAGGCGAAGGCGGCUCACUGGGGGUUAUCUGACGCUGAGGAACGAAAGCCAGGGGAGCAAACGGG